RNAcentral lists this long non-coding RNA (869 nucleotides) under Mus pahari (shrew mouse). RNAcentral's name for it is "lncRNA (MGP_PahariEiJ_G0005654.1)". Lineage: Eukaryota; Metazoa; Chordata; Mammalia; Rodentia; Muridae. The record is from RNAcentral.
GCGCGAAGCAAAAGUCAACCGACUUAGGGCAGGGACGGUUAGACACGAAAGAGUGCGCAGUGAUCCCAUCAGCAAACCUUUGUGCCUACAUUUACUCAUCCCAGGGGUGAAGGAGUGCGUGUGAGAGUACAAGCUGUUUAGGAACCCUCGGCAGAACCGAUGAGUACAAUCGUGAAUACCCAUCAUCCAACAGGUAUUUACCAAGUACCCAGAAUAUGCCAGGCACUGUUCUGGGUGCUGCUACCUACGUCUACGGCCUAUUAGGAGUCCAAUCUUUAGGCAACGGACAGCUUUCCACCACACCAUGUCCAUGCCUCACACCCUUCUCUCUGCAUGCUAGGUCAGGCAAACAACUGUGUAAAGACUUCUCAGGACUCAUGCCUUCUGUAGACCUGCAGAGACUGUUCAUGGAAACUGGUGACCAGCAGGAGGCGCUGUGGAUUCACGUGGCAGGCUGGGAAGUUAGAGGAGUCGGUUGGUUGUGCUGUAUACUCUUGGCAUCCACAGGACUUGAGACAACAAUGCUGGCCAGGUUGGGCAGUGGAAGGUGCUGGGCACCCAGGAGAUGGAGCUGCCAUCCACGCUGAUGUGUUCAAGUGAGAAGUACAAGAACCUUAAGAUGUCCGUGAGACUGGAAGGAAGAAGUUGAAUGAGAAGCAGACAGCAGGAGACCAGGAGUAGAGGACAGAGCAAAAGAGGAAGGAAGAGUGUUUGGUGAAAGGAAGCACAGGGCUGAUCAUCUGGUCCAGGCCUGUGGUUCCUAAUCCAUGGGUCUAUGGUCACCCUGGAUCACAGUUGUGGGAGGGAACCAGGCCAGAAGAAGCAGUGUGUACAACUCGUUGUUCCUGUCAGACACCUCCAUGAGCUAU